GAUGAAGAACGUAGCGAAAUGCGAUAAGUAAUGUGAAUUGCAGAAUUCAGUGAAUCAUCGAAUCUUUGAACGCACCUUGCACCCAUUGGCAUUCUGAAGGGUAUGCUCGUUUGAGUGUCAUUGUACUCUCACACUCCCGAUCUUUGCAUUGGGAGCAGUGGACUUGGGUUUGCUGCUUCACCGUCGCUUACCUCAAAUAGGUUAGUGCAACUCUUGGUUGGACAUAGUACGGCGUGAUAAGUGUUCUUCGCCGGUGCCUCGCAAAGAGGGUGGCCGAUCGGGAUGUUGUGCUCCAAACCGUCUUCGGACAAUCUCUGACGACUUGACCUCAAAUCGAGUAAGACUACCCGCUGAACUUAAGCAUAUCAAUAAGCGGAGGA
Molecule: unclassified non-coding RNA, 380 nt
Filed under: soil metagenome
Description: partial contains 5.8S ribosomal RNA, internal transcribed spacer 2, and large subunit ribosomal RNA
Rfam family: 5.8S ribosomal RNA (bases 1-120)
Source: RNAcentral